GCCCUUCGGGGCAUAGGGUGAACUGAAAAUAUACAGAGAAGAUUAACAUGGCCCCUGCACUAAGGAUGACAUGAUUCAAUCAAAGAGAAGCUACCUAUUUUU
This 102-nucleotide small nuclear RNA is filed under the name Penicillium rubens Wisconsin 54-1255. The record is from RNAcentral. Lineage: Eukaryota; Fungi; Ascomycota; Eurotiomycetes; Eurotiales; Aspergillaceae.